RNAcentral lists this ribosomal RNA (465 nucleotides) under uncultured bacterium. Its description in RNAcentral is "partial 16S ribosomal RNA". It matches the Rfam family "Bacterial small subunit ribosomal RNA", at positions 338 to 795 of the family's 1533-position model. The record is from RNAcentral.
CCUACGGGGGGCAGCAGUGGGGAAUAUUGCGCAAUGGGCGAAAGCCUGACGCAGCGACGCCGCGUGAGGGAUGAAGGUCUUCGGAUCGUAAACCUCUGUCAGCAGGGGAGAACGGUCACUGUGCUAAUCAGCAGUGAAUUGCCGGUACCUGAAGAAGAAGCCCCGGCUAACUACGUGCCAGCAGCCGCGGUAAGCCGUAGGGGGCAAGCGUUAUCCGGAUUUACUGGGUGGAAAGGGGGCGCAGACGGCGAUGCAAGCCAGGAGUGAAAGCCCGGGGCCCAACCCCGGGACGGCUCUUGGAACUGGGUGGCUAGAGUGCAGGAGGGGCAGGCGGAAUUCCUGGUGUAGCGGUGAAAUGCGUAGAUAUUAGGAGGAACACCAGUGGCGAAGGCGGCCUGCUGGACGACAACUGACGGUGAGGCGCGAAAGCGUGGGGAGCAAACAGGAUUAGAUACCCGAGUAGUC